This 688-nucleotide ribosomal RNA is filed under the name uncultured Lachnospiraceae bacterium. RNAcentral describes it as "bacterial SSU rRNA". It matches the Rfam family "Bacterial small subunit ribosomal RNA", at positions 47 to 748 of the family's 1533-position model. The record is from RNAcentral. Lineage: Bacteria; Bacillati; Bacillota; Clostridia; Lachnospirales; Lachnospiraceae.
CCUAACACAUGCAAGUCGAACGGAGCUUAGAGAGCUUGCUUUUUAAGCUUAGUGGCGAACGGGUGAGUAACGCGUGAGUAACCUGCCCUAGAGUGGGGGACAACAGUUGGAAACGACUGCUAAUACCGCAUAAGCCCACGGUACCGCAUGGUACUGAGGGAAAAGGAUUUAUUCGCUUUAGGAUGGACUCGCGUCCAAUUAGCUAGUUGGUGAGGUAACGGCCCACCAAGGCGACGAUUGGUAGCCGGACUGAGAGGUUGAACGGCCACAUUGGGACUGAGACACGGCCCAGACUCCUACGGGAGGCAGCAGUGGGGGAUAUUGCACAAUGGGGGAAACCCUGAUGCAGCGACGCCGCGUGGAGGAAGAAGGUUUUCGGAUUGUAAACUCCUGUCGUUAGGGACGAUAAUGACGGUACCUAACAAGAAAGCACCGGCUAACUACGUGCCAGCAGCCGCGGUAAAACGUAGGGUGCAAGCGUUGUCCGGAAUUACUGGGUGUAAAGGGAGCGCAGGCGGGAAGACAAGUUGGAAGUGAAAACCAUGGGCUCAACCCAUGAAUUGCUUUCAAAACUGUUUUUCUUGAGUAGUGCAGAGGUAGAUGGAAUUCCCGGUGUAGCGGUGGAAUGCGUAGAUAUCGGGAGGAACACCAGUGGCGAAGGCGGUCUACUGGGCACCAACUGACGCUG